This 253-nucleotide ribosomal RNA is filed under the name uncultured bacterium. Its description in RNAcentral is "partial 16S ribosomal RNA". It matches the Rfam family "Bacterial small subunit ribosomal RNA", at positions 524 to 776 of the family's 1533-position model. The record is from RNAcentral.
GACGGAAGGUGCAAGCGUUGCUCGGAAUCACUGGGCGUAAAGGGUGCGUAGGCGGCCGUGCAAGUCUGGCGUGAAAGCCCCGGGCUCAGCCCGGGAAGUGCGCUCGAAACUGCGCGGCUCGAGUGCCGGAGGGGAGAGUGGAAUUCCCGGUGUAGUGGUGAAAUGCGUAGAUAUCGGGAGGAACACCAGUGGCGAAGGCGACUACCUGGCCUGUUCUUGACGCUGAGGCGCGAAAGCUAGGGGAGCAAACGGG